This 786-nucleotide ribosomal RNA is filed under the name Nocardiopsis sp. NH64. RNAcentral's name for it is "bacterial SSU rRNA". It matches the Rfam family "Bacterial small subunit ribosomal RNA", at positions 81 to 866 of the family's 1533-position model. The record is from RNAcentral. Lineage: Bacteria; Bacillati; Actinomycetota; Actinomycetes; Streptosporangiales; Nocardiopsidaceae.
UUCGGGGUACACGAGCGGCGAACGGGUGAGUAACACGUGAGCAACCUGCCCCUGACUCCGGGAUAAGCGGUGGAAACGCCGUCUAAUACCGGAUACGACCCGUCAUCUCAUGGUGGUGGGUGGAAAGUUUUCUCGGUUGGGGAUGGGCUCGCGGCCUAUCAGCUUGUUGGUGGGGUAACGGCCUACCAAGGCGAUUACGGGUAGCCGGCCUGAGAGGGCGACCGGCCACACUGGGACUGAGACACGGCCCAGACUCCUGCGGGAGGCAGCAGUGGGGAAUAUUGCGCAAUGGGCGAAAGCCUGACGCAGCGACGCCGCGUGGGGGAUGACGGCCUUCGGGUUGUAAACCUCUUUUACCACCAACGCAGGCUCCCGGUUCUCCGGGGGUUGACGGUAGGUGGGGAAUAAGGACCGGCUAACUACGUGCCAGCAGCCGCGGUAAUACGUAGGGUCCGAGCGUUGUCCGGAAUUAUUGGGCGUAAAGAGCUCGUAGGCGGCGUGUCGCGUCUGCUGUGAAAGACCGGGGCUUAACUCCGGUUCUGCAGUGGAUACGGGCAUGCUAGAGGUAGGUAGGGGAGACUGGAAUUCCUGGUGUAGCGGUGAAAUGCGCAGAUAUCAGGAGGAACACCGGUGGCGAAGGCGGGUCUCUGGGCCUUACCUGACGCUGAGGAGCGAAAGCAUGGGGAGCGAACAGGAUUAGAUACCCUGGUAGUCCAUGCCGUAAACGUUGGGCGCUAGGUGUGGGGACUUUCCACGGUUUCCGCGCCGUAGCUAACGCAUUAAGCG